This 615-nucleotide ribosomal RNA is filed under the name Enterococcus faecalis. Its description in RNAcentral is "bacterial SSU rRNA". It matches the Rfam family "Bacterial small subunit ribosomal RNA", at positions 90 to 691 of the family's 1533-position model. Lineage: Bacteria; Bacillati; Bacillota; Bacilli; Lactobacillales; Enterococcaceae. The record is from RNAcentral.
GAGGAGUGGCGGACGGGUGAGUAACACGUGGGUAACCUACCCAUCAGAGGGGGAUAACACUUGGAAACAGGUGCUAAUACCGCAUAACAGUUUAUGCCGCAUGGCAUAAGAGUGAAAGGCGCUUUCGGGUGUCGCUGAUGGAUGGACCCGCGGUGCAUUAGCUAGUUGGUGAGGUAACGGCUCACCAAGGCCACGAUGCAUAGCCGACCUGAGAGGGUGAUCGGCCACACUGGGACUGAGACACGGCCCAGACUCCUACGGGAGGCAGCAGUAGGGAAUCUUCGGCAAUGGACGAAAGUCUGACCGAGCAACGCCGCGUGAGUGAAGAAGGUUUUCGGAUCGUAAAACUCUGUUGUUAGAGAAGAACAAGGACGUUAGUAACUGAACGUCCCCUGACGGUAUCUAACCAGAAAGCCACGGCUAACUACGUGCCAGCAGCCGCGGUAAUACGUAGGUGGCAAGCGUUGUCCGGAUUUAUUGGGCGUAAAGCGAGCGCAGGCGGUUUCUUAAGUCUGAUGUGAAAGCCCCCGGCUCAACCGGGGAGGGUCAUUGGAAACUGGGAGACUUGAGUGCAGAAGAGGAGAGUGGAAUUCCAUGUGUAGCGGUGAAAUGCGU